CUGGCGGCGUGCUUAACACAUGCAAGUCGAACGGAAAGGCCCUGCUUUUGUGGGGUGCUCGAGUGGCGAACGGGUGAGUAACACGUGAGUAACCUGCCCUUGACUUUGGGAUAACUUCAGGAAACUGGGGCUAAUACCGGAUAGGAGCUCCUGCUGCAUGGUGGGGGUUGGAAAGUUUCGGCGGUUGGGGAUGGACUCGCGGCUUAUCAGCUUGUUGGUGGGGUAGUGGCUUACCAAGGCUUUGACGGGUAGCCGGCCUGAGAGGGUGACCGGCCACAUUGGGACUGAGAUACGGCCCAGACUCCUACGGGAGGCAGCAGUGGGGAAUAUUGCACAAUGGGCGGAAGCCUGAUGCAGCAACGCCGCGUGCGGGAUGACGGCCUUCGGGUUGUAAACCGCUUUCGCCUGUGACGAAGCGUGAGUGACGGUAAUGGGUAAAGAAGCACCGGCUAACUACGUGCCAGCAGCCGCGGUGAUACGUAGGGUGCGAGCGUUGUCCGGAUUUAUUGGGCGUAAAGGGCUCGUAGGUGGUUGAUCGCGUCGGAAGUGUAAUCUUGGGGCUUAACCCUGAGCGUGCUUUCGAUACGGGUUGACUUGAGGAAGGUAGGGGAGAAUGGAAUUCCUGGUGGAGCGGUGGAAUGCGCAGAUAUCAGGAGGAACACCAGUGGCGAAGGCGGUUCUCUGGGCCUUUCCUGACGCUGAGGAGCGAAAGCGUGGGGAGCGAACAGGCUUAGAUACCCUGGUAGUCCACGCUGUAAACGGUGGGUACUAGGUGUGGGGUCCAUUCCACGGGUUCCGUGCCGUAGCUAACGCUUUAAGUACCCCGCCUGGGGAGUACGGCCGCAAGGCUAAAACUCAAAGGAAUUUGACGGGGCCCCGCACAAGCGGCGGAGCAUGCGGAUUAAUUCGAUGCAACGCGUAGAACCUUACCUGGGUUUGACAUGGAUCGGGAGUGCUCAGAGAUGGGUGUGCCUCUUUUGGGGUCGGUUCACAGGUGGUGCAUGGCUGUCGUCAGCUCGUGUCGUGAGAUGUUGGGUUAAGUCCCGCAACGAGCGCAACCCUUGUUCACUGUUGCCAGCACGUUAUGGUGGGGACUCAGUGGAGACCGCCGGGGUCAACUCGGAGGAAGGUGGGGAUGACGUCAAGUCAUCAUGCCCCUUAUGUCCAGGGCUUCACGCAUGCUACAAUGGCUGGUACAGAGAGUGGCGAGCCUGUGAGGGUGAGCGAAUCUCGGAAAGCCGGUCUCAGUUCGGAUUGGGGUCUGCAACUCGACCUCAUGAAGUCGGAGUCGCUAGUAAUCGCAGAUCAGCAACGCUGCGGUGAAUACGUUCCCGGGGCUUGUACACACCGCCCGUCAAGUCAUGAAAGUUGGUAACACCCGAAGCCGGUGGCCUAACCGUUGUGGGGGAGCCGUCGAAGGUGGGACUGGUGAUUAGGACUAAG
RNAcentral lists this ribosomal RNA (1443 nucleotides) under uncultured organism. RNAcentral's name for it is "16S ribosomal RNA". It matches the Rfam family "Bacterial small subunit ribosomal RNA". The record is from RNAcentral.